GUGAGGAUAUGGAGAAAUUGGAAGCCUAUGCACUGUUGGUGGGAGUGUAAAAUGGUAUCACUGCUGUAGAAGACAGUAUGGUUUAUAAAAAAAUUAAUAUAAUUACCAUAUGAUCCAGCAUUUCCACUUCUGGAUAGAUAAACUACAAAGGAUUGAAAUCAGGAUCUCAAAGAUAUUUGUACAUCCAUGUUCAAGCAACUCUAUUCAUAGUAACUGAAACAUAGUGUGCAACCCAAGUGUCCAUCAGUAGAUGAAUGAAUAAGCAAAAUGUGAAUAUUUACUUUGGUUUUGAUGACAGCAAUGGUAGGAUGACCAGAAGAAAAUGGAAAGGAAUGCUCCUACUCCAGUACAGAUAACCUUCUCAAGUGUUAGAAGACAGGAAUUCUGCUGUAUUGAUAGGGCAGGUCCAAGUAUUUUUGGUAGUUUUGAAACCUGGUUCUAGGGAUUUUCAAGUGGGAAACAAGAUCUGUCUGGUUACUUACUUUAGUUACUUUGGCUUCUUUUCUGUGGGAUCUUCAUAGAAAUAGAUUCUCAAAGAGUUGAUUAGUGGAUAAUUUUCCCACGUGUGUAAGAAAGGUAGAAUACUUUUGUAAUACAAUGAUUUAUUUGAUGUGAGGAGAGGUGCCUGGUGAAAGAGAACAUGCUGUGAAGCCUAGGGACCUCUCUUUAAUUAGCAGUGAGGCUGUGGAAAGAGCUAAAGUCUAGGAAUCAAAAGAACCAUGAUCUGAUUCUAGUUAUGCUAGUGAUUAGCUGACUGACUUUAGGUAAAACUGUUUGCCCUUUCUGUGCCUCUGUUUCCUUACAUGUGUAUGGAGAUAUAAGAAAGAAAUAUUGUGUUUUUCACUGCCUAGAUAAAAUGAUCACAAUAUUUGCUUUACUAUAGGAGUUUAUAAAAAUAAGUAACAUCUUAAAAAAAAAAGUAACCUCUUGCCAUUCUAGCAGCUAGAUGGCACCACUGCCUCUAACAUUUGUUUAAUAAUUUGAAUUUAAUUGCAGCUCGUGCUGAAUAUGCUGUACUUCUUUUCUUCCAGGAUGGCUUUUGUCAAAAGUUCAACUCUUGGGUUGCUAUGAUGAUCCACCCACCCUGGACCCGUACCCCUGUCGCCAGGCAACUGAAUUUUAAGAGGAAAUUCCUGGAGACCCUAAAACCUUCAAGACACAAAGAAUACAAGAUAGAGAAAAAUAGUGACAGUCAGUUCUUUUGGAGUAACAUAUCACUGCCUCAAACAUACUUCAUAGGUAAUGCUCCUUAUUUCUUUCUUCCAUGGCUCUGUGUGACUGGGGGGGAUAAGUAAAAUGUUAGUUUCUGUGUGCUGGACCAGUGUAUAUUCUGUUGGCCAAGUAGUAUUUUUGUAAGCCAAAUGGCCUCUUUAGAUUGAUUUCCAAGGCUGGGCAUUUAGAUCAGAUUCACGUGAUGCAAAUAUUGCAUAUCAUAUGAAACAGAAGACCCUGACCAGAUACUGACCUCCCAGAAUGUGGUGCCAAAAGAUUAACAAAUGGAUGAAAUUUGGGUCUCUGAUGUCAACCUGGCUUUUAAAAAGGAGUUAUAAGCAAUGGUAGUGAUAAGUAGGCAAAAUACUGUUACAUGUAAGUCUAAAUAAACAAAAUGAUAGGAGCACACUGAAUAUAAAUAGAUAAAAGUUUUC
Molecule: long non-coding RNA, 1646 nt
Organism: Canis lupus familiaris (dog)
Lineage: Eukaryota; Metazoa; Chordata; Mammalia; Carnivora; Canidae
Exons: 3
Source: RefSeq, a predicted model, not a curated record